RNAcentral lists this ribosomal RNA (450 nucleotides) under uncultured Entrophospora. RNAcentral describes it as "SSU rRNA". It matches the Rfam family "Eukaryotic small subunit ribosomal RNA", at positions 569 to 1017 of the family's 1831-position model. Lineage: Eukaryota; Fungi; Glomeromycota; Glomeromycetes; Entrophosporales; Entrophosporaceae. The record is from RNAcentral.
AGCAGCCGCGGUAAUUCCAGCUCCAAUAGCGUAUAUUAAAGUUGUUGCAGUUAAAAAGCUCGUAGUUGAAUUUCGGGAUUGGCGCAUCGGUCGUGCCUUACGGGGUAUGAACUGGUGCAGUCAAUUUCUCACCUUCUGGAGAACCGCGAUGUCCUUAAUUGGGUGCCGUGGGGAACCAGGACCUUUACUUUGAAAAAUUAGAGUGUUUAAAGCAGGCAUUUUUGCUUGAAUACAUUAGCAUGGAAUAAUAAAAUAGGACGGCAUGGUUCUAUUUUGUUGGUUUCUAGGACCACCGUAAUGAUUAAUAGGGAUAGUUGGGGGCAUUAGUAUUCAAUUGUCAGAGGUGAAAUUCUUGGAUUUAUUGAAGACUAACUACUGCGAAAGCAUUUGCCAAGGAUGUUUUCAUUAAUCAAGAACGAAAGUUAGGGGAUCGAAGACGAUCAGAUACCG